CCUGUCCCUAGAGGUAUUGCAUGCGUGGCUGCUAUGUCACAUGUGGGAAAGUACAUGGCAGAGAGAAAGGAUAUGUUUGAGUUCAAUGUUCUGGCCUGCAAACAUCUGAAUGAAAGUAGUCUAACACU
This is a small nucleolar RNA of Acomys russatus (golden spiny mouse), 128 nucleotides long. RefSeq annotates it as small nucleolar RNA SNORA17. The record is from RefSeq and is a predicted model, not a curated record. The transcript has a single exon. Lineage: Eukaryota; Metazoa; Chordata; Mammalia; Rodentia; Muridae.